CUAGCCAUUUAUAAAACGAGAGAGAAAAGACACACAAACAGCAGCAGCCGUCGUCGUCCUCCGCCGCGUCAAGACCGGCCUAUGAGCUCUCCGUCGAGGCAGUUCCUUUAUCUUCGAUAAACCGCCUCCAAAAAAAAAACUGCAAAAAAUGGAGUAAUAAAAUAAUCAUGUGUUUCAAGCACUAUUAGAGCAUCCACAAUGGGACGGAUGUCCCGGCGGACAUCCCGACGGACUUCCAAAAAAUACCUCUUGCUACGUCAUAAAGACAUCCCACUGCACUGCCACGUCAUAAGGACAUCCCACUACACAAUGGCCAAGGACAUCCCGACGGACAUCCACAAAAAAAACAAUAAAAAAUAUGGGACGUACGCCGGGACAUCCGUCGUGUCAACGCAAUGACGGACGUCCCGGAAAGCCGCGGAACUCCGGUGUCCGCAGUGGACGUCCGUGUCCGUAUGUAUGCUGCCUAAUGGCGGACAUCCGGCACGCCGGUCCGACGUCUGCUGGGACAUCUGCCAUUGUGAUGCUCUUAUCGAACAGGAUUUCCACCAAAGUAGAAGUAAACAUGGCUGAUCAAGACGAGUUUAUUGGACAAAUGCACCAAAAAUUGGUAAUCAUGAGUGGUCCGAUAACAGAUGCCAACAAUUUUGGGGUGAAGCCGUCUGCGAUUAUGAUGAUCCAACACGAUCAAUUCGCUGGCCUCUCGAGAGACGAGGAGCCACAUGUGCACCUUGCUCAUUUCUCCAGACUUUGUGGGACCAUAAAGAUCGAAGGAGUGCCAGGUGAUGCCAUCAAGCUCAGUCUCUUUCCCUUUUCUCUCAAAGCCGAGGCCAGGAAUUGGUUCUACUCCUUGGAGAGUGGAACCAUUUCCAUUUGGGACGAAAUGGCGCAGCACCUUCCUCGACAAGUACUAUCCUUGGGGUAAAGCCUCGAAGUUGCAAAAGGAUAUUUGGCGGUUCCAACAAAUGGAGGACGAGAGACUCCACGAGGCUUGGGAGAGAUUCAACGGGAUUCUAAGGAAGUGCCCUACUCACAGCCUUGAUAAAAACACCAAAAUUACCACAUUUUUUAUGGAUGCAACUAUGAUACGAAGCUAUGGUUGAAUAUCGCGGCUGGUGGAUCAAUUAUGGAGAAGACUUGCGGAGAAGCCACAGAAGUUAUUGAGAGGAUGGCUGCUAGUUCGUACCGAUGGUGAACGAACCCCUGCGAUAGAUGUUGUCACUGCGGACCAUCUCAUCUCUAUUCACCAGUAGUUACCUAACAUGUUAUUUGACUUAUUUUUCAGUUUACUCUAUUUCAUAUCUUAGUUUGUCUUACUUUUGAGAUCAUGCUUCGACUUUGGUCCUUGAAUGUUUUAGAAAAACUUUGUUAUGUUAUGGUUGAUUAGUGUUAGAAAUGUGUGUUGGGUAAAUGGUUUGAUAUGCUUGUGAUGGUAAGGAUGGAUUGUUUGUUUUGAAAUGAACUACAUGUUUUGAGCC
Molecule: long non-coding RNA, 1478 nt
Organism: Salvia splendens (bonfire salvia)
Lineage: Eukaryota; Viridiplantae; Streptophyta; Magnoliopsida; Lamiales; Lamiaceae
Exons: 2
Source: RefSeq, a predicted model, not a curated record